AACACUCUCUUUCUCUCUGACAGACAGGAGGGAAAUGCUGCAAAAUAAAUGCAUGGGAAAACAAAAAGUUGGCAUGGAAAUAUACAUUUUGCUCGGGAAAGAGAGGGACAAUGUUUGCUGAGCACACUAGACAGCGGCUCUUUUCAUCAGGAUAUAAUGUUUCAGGAAUACUGCAGCUACAGUGCCAACUCCCUGGUUACACUGCAUGUGUUUUGUUUUAUCAAAUGAAAAAAAAUGAUGAUAUUUCAGUCUUUCUGUUGCUGCACAACAAAGGUGCCUGCAUGGGAUUUGACUGCAUGAAUAAAUCAGAUGCACAAAUCAGAUGCAGCUGGAGGACAAUGAUGUGUUGUUACACGAUGAAGGGACUUUUAGAGAAACAUCUCUGGGUUUACUCUGUGUGAUUAUUUGUUAUUAUUCCUUUUAAAUCGGGAUAGGACGGUUAUAUUACCGUGGUUAAUGAUCGGGAUAAAUUUCAGUUCGAUCGCUGUGAUCGACUGUGAUCGACUGUGAGCAUAUUUACUCAAUCGAACAUAGCGGAAAUGUGCGUCACAACAGCCAAUCAGAGUCGAGCUUUUCCUGCUCACUUCUGUAAGUUGCCGGUGAAGUAAACAGGAAGUAAACAGAAUGGCCGAUCGUGGAGCUAAACGCCGAUAUGUAAGGUAUGUUGGCGGUCGGUGCCUCAAAAACCGACAACACAACAGAUCUGUUAAAUCAUUCGAAGAAGUUCUUUCUGAGUGAUUGUGUGGAAAACAUGAAAAUGCGAGUGGAGUCUGUAGCUUUAGCAGUUUAGCUACAACUAGCGGUGCAGCCACCAGACCAAAGCAAUCAAUCAUUUGUAUCCUCUAAUGUUUACAUUUUAAGGCGUCUUCAUUAUCUCUGAGGGGGCGAUUUGUUUAUUUUGGGUCUUGCAAACCUGCAAAAACACUCAGGACUAUAAACUAAUUCACUACAUUAUUUAAUAUUAAUCUACAUUUUUUGUAGGCUAUUGUUGAAUAAAAUGUUUUUUAUAUUUUUUGUGAGUUUAUCUUGUUUAAUUUGCUUUGUAAUUUACUUUGUAUGUUAACUGUAUGGGAAUUAACGGGAAUGGAUCUGCAAUUUACAUUUAUUUAUUAUUUUGCAUGGUUGUCUGCUUAUGACAAAACAAAAAUAUUUAGAUUUAUGUUUGGAUUUGAUACAGUUUGUUUGAAUUGCCCCUAAUUUCCAGUUAAUUCCCAUAAAUUCCCAAUAAUUCCCAUAUUUCUAUAAAUUCCAAUAAUUCCCCUGUAAAGUUUCCAGUUUGGAACAUUACCAAAAUUCCCCAGUUUAACUUCCCAAGGAAAAUUUCUGGAAAUUUACCGGAAAUUUUCCGCCCCUUUGCAACCCUAUGUUGAACUAAUCUCUAAUUUCUUUAGUUUUUACUACAGAUGAUUUGAAAUUUACAGUUUAAAAAAAAUCAUGAUAAUCAUUGAGAUUGGACGAUAUGACAAAAUAUAGCGUGAUCUUUUUUUUGUUUGUUUUUUCCAAAUCUUUGUGUCCUAUUUCGAACAUAUAAAUUCACACCUCCCCCUGAACUGAUCUCAUCAAGAUGGCUUCUCUUAUUACCACUACAGCAUAUGUGCACAGGCCUCUGUUUAACAAGUACUCUGAAAAAUAGAAAGCACUCUGGUUGAAUACCCACAUCUUCAGUUUGAUGUAGUGAGUGAGUGUAACUCAAAAGCCCACAUGGAUACCCAAGACAUUACCAUUCAUUGUUGGGCUAAUUAGAGUGUAGUUGGUGUGUGUGGAUAAACUAAAGUAAUUAGUCAUAGAUUUAUGGUUGGAUGUCUGCUGAGACAGCAGUUGCUAACAUCUACUGAAGGAGAUUAAAGCCUUUGUAAGCGAGCACAAGAAGACAGGACUGCUUCUUAUUGUGAUCUGAUGAAAUACAUCAUUUCAGAGAUCUCAACAGCAGGACUAAAGGACACAACAAAGACGGAGGGACGCGCUCCUGAGUGUGACGUGUUAAAACAUUCACUUUCUCUUCAAACUGCCCUUGUCAAAGACAAUGAACCACCCCGAGGAUGACACCAGUUUCCUCCGUGAUUAAAUGUUCGGUCUUUCUUACAGAGGAGUUUUUGCUGAACUGGAGCUGCUGACAUUUCUCAGGUUUAGUUUACAUUGUGUUCCAGUGCUGAGAGUUAUUUCUGUUCUGGUGCAGUAAUGUUUUGUUAUUGGUGAUGCAACCGGUUAUCAUUCACUUAUCAUCAGAUCGUUCCUGCAUCAGCAGGGGAGGUAAAUGCAACAAAUCAGCAGGAGAAGGACACUAAUGAUAGGGUUGUGGAGGAAUGCAUACAAAUAGAAAAGAGUUGCCGUCCCUGUUCAUUUAUAGCUGGUGAAUUGUUGAUCAUUUUAUUGGCAAUCUUUGAAUACAAAAUAGUGUUUGCCCUGUAAACAAACCUUGUGGGAGACUUGAGGAUUCUGUAAAUGGUCUUAAUAAUGCCUCGAGUUUGGUGAUAACUGCAAACAAGUAGACUUCGGGGUCUGAGUCUUUUAUUUUUUAUGUGGAAGACUAAAUGUGCCGAUUCAGGCAAAAAAAAAUUACAAAUAAGGCUGAAGAGACGGACGCACACACCAGUAAUCAGAGUAACAGGAGGAUGCAAAAAAUAAAUAUAUAACACAGACGCUCUCAGGAGCUUGUAAUGACUGUGUAGAUGGUGCAGAUGGGGUUUGCAGCAUUAUAAAAAUGUUCUGAAAGAGCUGUUAAAUCUUAAGGUGUAGCCACAGAUCAUAAAACCUCUAUAGCAAGCAUUUUUUUUUCAUAACCUGCCGGAAAAAUAUACGACACAAGGACGAUUUUUGCAGGAAAUUAUCAUGUGCUCUAAUAAUUCUCCAAGUGAUCUUAGUGUAAGUGAAAACCCAAAAUAAAAAAACACGUACCUGAGCUGCAAGCAGACUUUUAACUCAGAGAGUAAUGACGGUUUUAAUAUUUGAUUAUGACAACAUGUAAUCAUGAAUUACUGAUGUACUGUGAGAGUAUCCUGCACAGACUAGAACCGAAAAUAGAUUCACCUCAAGUGACCCGGGUAUAACUCGAAUUCUCGAAUCACAUCUGAGAGUUAACAUUUAGAAUCAUUUGUGCAAAUGAUCCUGUAAAUGAGGAUAAGAGCUUUAUCCUUAUUGGAGGUUAAAUUAAAGAACCUGGGGAAAUGAAGCAGAGCCCACACUGAAUCCUCCUAAAGUCGGCGCUGACAAGUGAUGCUGCUGUAAAGAGCGAGAAGUGGAUGAGAAUGGAUUGUUUCAUUUGGCCGUGUCCUGUGUGUGUGUGUGUGUGUGUGUGAAUGAGAAUAACACUCUGUGAUGAGGCACAAUGUUAUGAUAUUACCUCUUUGCUUUUUUUCUCUUCAUCUAUUCUGAGCCGCUGUUGAAGAGACUUGUCUUUGACUUCCUCUUGUGCAAGAAAAGAAAAGUUCAAAGUGAUGAAGUGUUUCAAGGUUAAGUGUGUGAAAUUUUGUUGAUUCUCUGAAUUGUCAACUAUUCAUCCUUCUUGUUCGGAUCUUAACUCGUGAUUGGUUAAAUGGUCUGGAUGUUUGUUUGCCUGGUGAGCUUCAUUACUGCAGGGAGCUGCAAACUUGAACCGCUGUAUAUAAAAGUAAAAUGUCGGUUUGAUGUGACAAACCGCAGCGGAUUAGACGACAUAUUUCUCUGAAACAGAGCGUGUGAAAUAUGUCUAAGUUCAAGUGCAGGGCAAGGAUUCAGCCUAGUGUUUAGCUCUGAUAUUUGACCAUAAAACUGUGGUCCAUCUCAAGGUGAAGCAAAUCUUUCCUUUGACUCAUGAAUAAAAACACACACCUUAAAAUAAACCCUUACACGCUGAAUACACCCACAGUGAGUAUAUAUUAUAAUGAGAAUAACAAAAACGGAAAUGUGAUAGUCAUAUCUGAACACCAGAGGGGAAAGUCAAGGAGACUGUGCCUGUAGGUUUCUUUGAAAUUUUAAUCUAUUCUUGUGUGAUCUCAGAGAGGCAACAGCACUUAUGGGAAAUCGUCAGCAGUUUCAUUUUGAUGGUAUUUUCAGAGAGCUCUUCAAGUUUCACCGUUUUACUGUAACUAUGAUUUCAGUCAUUUGCUUAAAUGUAAUACAGUUUUAUUACAUUAAAGCUCCUGUGAGCAGUUUUUGGAUGUCCAUGGAAUUAAUUCAUGAUGUAAAAAGAAACAAAACCAUCGACUGUAUAUACUAUGGACAACUUGUUGUAAAGUUGUACGCAUUCGGCGGUAGAGUCACUGUGACGACGCUCGGCUUAAACAGCGUAUCCCCCGGGUGAGCUACGUAGACUUCGUACGCCCGUAGGCUGUAUCAAAUGUCAAUCAAAGAAAACACGAACCCCCUAAUACCGUAUUUUUCAGGUGCACCGGAUUAUAAGGCGCAUUUAGCAAAACAACACAGUCCGAUAAACUUUAUUUAACUCAGUUGUAACAAAAAAAUACUGGUACAUAAAAAUACGCUCACUUACUGAUUCAUUCCUCUUCCACAAAUCCAUCGAAUUCUUCAUCUUCAGCUGUGCGGUUUCGGCAUCAAUCACGCCCGGAUCCCUCUCGCCAUUCUCCAAGUCAGUCUCGUUGCUGUUAUCUGUACUUGGCUGUUCAGUGAUGAUUUCAACUCAGGUGACAGUUACCGUAAUGCUCAGAAUAUCCAUCGUGUGUAGCGGCUUUGUUGCGAACCGAAGUCGUACUUACACAUUUGACAGAUUUUUGAGCGCAUUUGUACCACAUAAAAUCAAUCAGUAAGCACAACAAGUAAUAACACAUAAGGCGCGCUGGAUUAUAAGGCGCACAGUCAAUAUCUGAGAAAAUUAAAGGAUUUUAAAUGCGCCUUAUAGUCUGAAAAACACUGUAAAUUUAAAAAAUGGAGCUGCACAGAAAAAGGGGACUUGAGCACGAAACAGUCUUACAGUAACUACAUGUCAACAUCACAACCAGGGGGGAGAAACAUUUAUAUUCUGUGUCAUUAAUUUCUAAAUUUGUCCACAGCUCCAUAGGGAUUGCUGGAAGAGGCGGGAUUUAUGACCUAUACUGCAGCCUGUCACCAGAGGGUGCUGUUCUGGUGGUGGAUUCACCCAGCGAGGAGGCAGACCACGUCCAUUCUAUAUACAGUCUAUAAACAAAACCAUACUGGCGCUCAGGUGGGAGGUUUUAGUUAAACA
RNAcentral lists this long non-coding RNA (5158 nucleotides) under Xyrichtys novacula (pearly razorfish). Lineage: Eukaryota; Metazoa; Chordata; Actinopteri; Labriformes; Labridae. The record is from RNAcentral.